This 342-nucleotide transfer-messenger RNA is filed under the name uncultured Lachnoclostridium sp. It matches the Rfam family "transfer-messenger RNA". From Rfam's summary of the family: Bacterial tmRNA, also known as 10Sa RNA or SsrA, is named for its dual tRNA and mRNA-like properties. Its role is to liberate the mRNA from a stalled ribosome. To accomplish this part of the tmRNA is used as a reading frame that ends in a translation stop signal. The record is from RNAcentral. Lineage: Bacteria; Bacillati; Bacillota; Clostridia; Lachnospirales; Lachnospiraceae.
GGGGUAGUACUGGUUUCGACAGGGAUCAUGCAGCUGGUGAAGCUAUCCGCAUGCGAUGCGUUAAAUGGCAAAAUUAAAUACAAACGCUAACGAUAGAGAAUUAGCACUGGCAGCCUAAGCGCUGUCUGUCAGCCUUAGAGCACCCACACUUUAAGAACCUGGCAUCGAUCAUGUGGGAAACGACAUGUGCAAAGCUUUGAGCAUAUGGGCGUAUCAUGAAGCUACUGAACGCAUUAGGGUGUUAGUCCCCGAAUGCCGGAGGGAAUGAUAAAUGACUGACUAUGAUAGUAGAAGAACAGGGAAUUGGUUUUUGGACACGGGUUCAAAUCCCGUCUACUCCAU